This 74-nucleotide transfer RNA is filed under the name Acidobacteriota bacterium. Its description in RNAcentral is "tRNA-Gln". It matches the Rfam family "tRNA". From Rfam's summary of the family: Transfer RNA (tRNA) molecules are approximately 80 nucleotides in length. Their secondary structure includes four short double-helical elements and three loops (D, anti-codon, and T loops). Further hydrogen bonds mediate the characteristic L-shaped molecular structure. tRNAs have two regions of fundamental functional importance: the anti-codon, which is responsible for specific mRNA codon recognition, and the 3' end, to which the tRNAs corresponding amino acid is attached (by aminoacyl-tRNA synthetases). tRNAs cope with the degeneracy of the genetic code in two manners: having more than one tRNA (with a specific anti-codon) for a particular amino acid; and 'wobble' base-pairing, i.e. permitting non-standard base-pairing at the 3rd anti-codon position. Lineage: Bacteria; Pseudomonadati; Acidobacteriota. The record is from RNAcentral.
UCGGGGGUCGUCCAACGGUAGGACAGCGGCCUUUGGAGCCGCUGAUCCAGGUUCGAAUCCUGGCCCCCGAGCCA